This 791-nucleotide ribosomal RNA is filed under the name uncultured bacterium. Its description in RNAcentral is "bacterial SSU rRNA". It matches the Rfam family "Bacterial small subunit ribosomal RNA", at positions 8 to 796 of the family's 1533-position model. The record is from RNAcentral.
AGAGUUUGAUCAUGGCUCAGGAUGAACGCUAGCGGCAGGCCUAAUACAUGCAAGUCGAGGGGUAACAUGAGAGCUUGCUCUUGAUGACGACCGGCGCACGGGUGCGUAACGCGUAUGCAACCUACCCAUAACUGGGGGAUAGCCCGGAGAAAUCCGGAUUAAUACCCCAUAAUGCAGGGGUACAGCCUUGUACUAUUUGCUAAAGAUUUAUUGGUUAUGGAUGGGCAUGCGUCUGAUUAGUUAGUUGGUGAGGUAACGGCUCACCAAGACCACGAUCAGUAGGGGGUCUGAGAGGAUGAUCCCCCACACUGGCACUGAGAUACGGGCCAGACUCCUACGGGAGGCAGCAGUAGGGAAUAUUGGGCAAUGGGCGGAAGCCUGACCCAGCCAUGCCGCGUGAAGGAAGACGGCCUUCUGGGUUGUAAACUUCUUUUGUACAGGAAGAAAAAGGUCAUGCGUGGCCAAUUGACGGUACUGUACGAAUAAGCACCGGCUAACUCCGUGCCAGCAGCCGCGGUAAUACGGAGGGUGCAAGCGUUGUCCGGAUUUAUUGGGUUUAAAGGGUGCGUAGGCGGUACGCUAAGUCAGUGGUGAAAUCCCGCAGCUCAACUGCGGAACUGCCAUUGAUACUGGCGUACUUGAGUACAGACGAGGCAGGCGGAAUUUAUGGUAGCGGUGAAAUGCAUAGAUACCAUAAAGAACACCGAUAGCGAAGGCAGCUUGCUAGACUGUAACUGACGCUGAGGCACGAAAGCGUGGGGAGCGAACAGGAUUAGAUACCCUAGUAGUCC